Camellia sinensis is the source of this 447-nucleotide long non-coding RNA. RefSeq lists it as uncharacterized. The record is from RefSeq and is a predicted model, not a curated record. NCBI's taxonomy places the organism in Eukaryota, Viridiplantae, Streptophyta, Magnoliopsida, Ericales, Theaceae.
AUUCAUUAGAUGCCUCUGGUUUUAUGGAUGUGCUGAAUCCUAUUCUUUUAUGUUCACAGUUAUGGUUAUUCCAAAGAAAGAUUUGUUUGGUCCUUAAUAUCUGUUGAUGGUAUCUUUUGUCUUGGUUCUGGUGCUACAAUAGUUCAUAGCAUUCAGAACUUGUGCACUUCUCAGGAUGGUGCUACAGUAACAGGUAUGCUCAUUGCUGCUGCAUCAUUGGUUGCGGUGAAUACCACAGGAAACGCAAUUUAUGAUCUCAUUGGUUCAAUUAUAGUGGGCAACGUUCUUAGAAUGGAAGCCAUGGAGAUGAUGGUUGCUUGCUCUGCAAUGGCUUUAGCAAAAAGGGAACAAUUAAAAGGAGGAGACAACCAAUCACCAGACAGCUUUUGAGACAAGUGGAAUUGUGGAGGUAUAAUAAGUGCAACUGUAUUAACCGGAGGAACCUUG